This 269-nucleotide ribosomal RNA is filed under the name uncultured prokaryote. RNAcentral describes it as "partial 16S ribosomal RNA". It matches the Rfam family "Bacterial small subunit ribosomal RNA", at positions 524 to 792 of the family's 1533-position model. The record is from RNAcentral.
UACGUAGGUGGCAAGCGUUAUCCGGAAUUAUUGGGCGUAAAGAGCGCGCAGGUGGUUGAUUAAGUCUGAUGUGAAAGCCCACGGCUCAACCGUGGAAGGUCAUUGGAAACUGGGUCACUUGAAUAUAGAAGAGGAAAGUGGAAUUCCUAGUGUAGCGGUGAAAUGCGUAGAUAUUAGGAAGAACACCAGUGGCGAAGGAGGCUUUCUGGACUGUAACUGACACUGAGGCUCGAAAGCGUGGGGAGCAAACAGGAUUAGAUACCCGCGUA